Molecule: ribosomal RNA, 301 nt
Filed under: uncultured bacterium
Lineage: Bacteria
Description: partial 16S ribosomal RNA
Rfam family: Bacterial small subunit ribosomal RNA
Source: RNAcentral
CAGUAGCCGCGGGAAUACGAAGGGUGCAAGCGUUACUCGGAAUUACUGGGCGUAAAGCGUGCGUAGGUGGUGGUUUAAGUCCGUUGUGAAAGCCCUGGGCUCAACCUGGGAAUUGCAGUGGAUACUGGGUCACUAGAGUGUGGUAGAGGAUAGUGGAAUUUCCGGUGUAGCAGUGAAAUGCGUAGAGAUCAGAAGGAACAUCUGUGGCGAAGGCGACUAUCUGGGCCAACACUGACACUGAGGCACGAAAGCGUGGGGAGCAAACAGGAUUAGAUACCCCUGUAGUCCCUGUCUCUUAUAC